UGCAACAGAGGAGCUGAGGAGAAGAGACCAAGUUCCGAAUCACCAGAAGAGUCUCCUGAAAGACAUGGAGCAGGACCAGCAGUGGCUGCAUGAGACUCUCCAAGAGGCAAAACCUGCCCUCCAACAGGCAGCAAAAAUCUGUUCGGCCUCACUUUGUGCCCAAAGGAACUGCUGCACCUCGUGGUCCUGAAAGUGAUGCUGAAGUAACUUUCUGUCAAAGAACAUCGAAACUCAUGAGCUGCAGAAACAACAGACAGCUCAAAGCACAGAAGAACAAGGAGGCAGAUAUAUAUCUAUAUCAAGACCACAUCUGAAGAGCUUAGAUCUAACAAGCAAGAGCAGCAGACUUUGGGUCUCUAUUAAAAGAGUGUGAAAAUUAAUAUUAUAAAGCCUCAUUUGUUAAAACAUGAGUGAAGGAAAAAUAACCCUUCUUGAAAAGUAAUCAAAGAAAAGAUUUGAUUUUUUUUUUUUGUGCGAGACUGAAUUUUUAUAUUUCUGUUGAUAAAACCCAAAGAUCCUUCACAGCAGCAACAGAUGCAGAAGUUACUUGCAGAAAUGAUACCUCUUCUUAAUCUGUUUGUAUACCCAAAUGAUCAGAUGUUCCAGGUAAUUGACCAAUCAAACCAUUCAGCAGUUAAUUUAAUUUGAAGUUUCUUUCAUAACACUUAACUUUCAACCAUGACACAUUUUCUUAGAAUCCUGGAAACUAAAAUAAUGAAGUUUCAUUGAAUUAGGUAAAUGCAAAUCUUCUUAAA
This is a long non-coding RNA of Parus major (Great Tit), 755 nucleotides long. RefSeq lists it as uncharacterized. The record is from RefSeq and is a predicted model, not a curated record. Lineage: Eukaryota; Metazoa; Chordata; Aves; Passeriformes; Paridae. The transcript has 3 exons.